UACGGAGGAUGCAAGCGUUAUCCGGAAUGAUUGGGCGUAAAGGGCGCGUAGGCGGCACCGCAAGUCGACUGUGAAAUCUCCGGGCUUAACUCGGAAAGGUCAGCCGAUACUGCGGGGCUAGAGUGCAGAAGGGGCAACUGGAAUUCUCGGUGUAGCGGUGAAAUGCGUAGAUAUCGAGAGGAACACCUGCGGCGAAGGCGGGUUGCUGGGCUGACACUGACGCUGAUGCGCGAAAGCUAGGGGAGCAAACGGG
This 253-nucleotide ribosomal RNA is filed under the name uncultured bacterium. RNAcentral describes it as "partial 16S ribosomal RNA". It matches the Rfam family "Bacterial small subunit ribosomal RNA", at positions 524 to 776 of the family's 1533-position model. The record is from RNAcentral.